This 66-nucleotide transfer RNA is filed under the name Conus spurius. RNAcentral describes it as "tRNA-Tyr". It matches the Rfam family "tRNA". From Rfam's summary of the family: Transfer RNA (tRNA) molecules are approximately 80 nucleotides in length. Their secondary structure includes four short double-helical elements and three loops (D, anti-codon, and T loops). Further hydrogen bonds mediate the characteristic L-shaped molecular structure. tRNAs have two regions of fundamental functional importance: the anti-codon, which is responsible for specific mRNA codon recognition, and the 3' end, to which the tRNAs corresponding amino acid is attached (by aminoacyl-tRNA synthetases). tRNAs cope with the degeneracy of the genetic code in two manners: having more than one tRNA (with a specific anti-codon) for a particular amino acid; and 'wobble' base-pairing, i.e. permitting non-standard base-pairing at the 3rd anti-codon position. The record is from RNAcentral. Lineage: Eukaryota; Metazoa; Mollusca; Gastropoda; Neogastropoda; Conidae.
UGUCUGGUGGCUGAGCUGAAAGCGGUAGACUGUAGAUCUAUUAACGGAAUUAAGUUUCCCCGACAA